AAGUCGUAACAAGGUUUCCGUAGGUGAACCUGCGGAAGGAUCAUUAAUGAAAUGAUGUUUUUUGGGGUUUUUAAUCUCAAAAAAUAAUUCACCUUUUGUGCACUGUUAUUAGAUAUACUUUGGUUAGAGCUUUGAUUUCAUUUUUUUGAAAUCAACUUCUGGCUGACUCUAUCCUUACUGAGGACAGUUGGCUAUGAAGCGGCCUACCAAGGUUUUUUAUCAAACACAUUUAAUCCAACUGACCUAAAACAAAAUAAUUAAUAUUAAAUCAUAACUUUCAACAACGGAUCUCUUGGCUCUC
RNAcentral lists this unclassified non-coding RNA (301 nucleotides) under fungal sp. Its description in RNAcentral is "partial internal transcribed spacer region". The stretch from base 1 to 46 matches the Rfam family "Eukaryotic small subunit ribosomal RNA", at positions 1786 to 1831 of the family's 1831-position model. Lineage: Eukaryota; Fungi. The record is from RNAcentral.